CCAGAGCCCGACGCGGGGCUCGAACUCACGGACUGCGAGAUCGUGACCUGGCCGAAGUCGGACGCUUAACCGACUGCACCACCCAGACGCCCCUAAAUUGUAUGUUUUUUUUACCAUGUUUGGUCGUUGAUAUACUCAUUCCCAGUAGAAUCCUACACACAAUUACAAGCCAGUCUCCUUGUAGAUUGAGUUGUGAAAAAGACAGGAAGAGCAUCUGUUUCAGUAACAACUGAAAUAUGAAAAUACUUCUGGAGAAAGAUGAGCAUGUAAAAUACUUUCAGGUAAACACUAGAACAAUGAAUUGCAGAAGACAAAGGAAAACAAGCAAGAAGACAUGUCAGCUGAUCCUUAGAAAGUGUGCAGGUAGGAAGCAAACAGAUGUUUCGUUUCAUCAAGUUAAAUGUAUGUGGGGAGUCUUUAGAAGGUAGGUUGUUCUGGGGUGCCUGCGUGGCUCAGUCAGUUAAGCCUCUGACUUCAGCUCAGGUCAUGAUCUCACCAUUCGUGGCUUCGAGCCCCACAUCGGGCUCUGUGCUGACAGCUCAGAGCCUGGAGCCUGCUUCAGAUUCUGUGUCUCCCUCUCUCUCAGCCCCUUCCCCACUCAUACUCUAUCUCUCUCUCACAAAAAUAAAUAAACAUUAAAAAAAAAUUUUUUUUAGAAGGUAGUUUGUUCUAAGUCUUGAUGCCAGUUGGCUCUAUUAACAAGAAAUGGAUUUAGGGUCAUCUCCUACAUUUCCGAUUUUAUGAAGCAAUUUUAAGGAGGAGUCUUUCAUCAAACUUGGAGCAGCUAGAGUAGUAGCAUUUGGAAGUUAUUGAUUGUACUAUUAUUUAUAUCAGUAUAAUUUCACUUUUUUUUUUUAAUGUUUCUUCAUUUUUGAGAGAGACAGAGUGUGAGCAGGGGAGGGGCAGAGAGAAAGAGACACACAAUCCCAAGCAGGCUCCAGGCUCCAGCAGAGAGCCUGACGUGGAGCUCGAACUCACAACCGUGAGAUCAUGACCUGAGCUGCAGCCGGACGCUCAACCGACUGAGCCACUCAGGUGCCCCUCACAUAUAGUUUCUAAUAUUUUGCAUUAUAAUUCAAAACUGACAUUUAUUGUCUUAUUCAGAUUGUUCCAGCUUUGGCCAUUUGGCAUACUCGGAUAUGUAUAUACUUUUUAACUUUCUUACUUUCUGUCAGUACAAGAUACUCAUGUUCAUCUUAUAUAUGUUUUAUUAUUUUUUUUAAUAUGUAUAUAUUUAAAUGUUUAUUAUUUUGAGAGGGAGAGAGAGAAUCCCAAUCAGGCUUUAUGCCCAGUGUGGAGCCUGACACAGGAUUCGAUCUCACCUUCUGAGAUCAUGACUUGACCCGAAAUCAAGAGUCUGAUGUUCAGCCUCCUCAGUCACUCAGGCGUCCUUCUUUACUUUUGAACGGCUUAAAUAGUAUUGGUUUACCUAUGAACAUAACCUCCUCACUGUUAAGCCAUGUCAUCAGGGUACGUUUGUGUGUGUUUGUUGGGGGGGGGGGGGCUCUUUGAUAGAUUAUCCCUGUUUCUUCCAUCAAUAUUAUUCAGUUUAGAAUUUAUUCUACACGGGUCAAACCCCAUUUUGGGCAUAGAGUUUACUUAAACAAAAAAACAAACAACCUCAUUAGAAUGUGCUAUCUCAUUUUGAUUAAUAAAAUCAGUUUCUUUUAUGGUAUCAAUGAAUAUUAUUUAAGGUAUUCAACAUGUAAGUGUUUUGUACAGUUUUAUUACAUUUCAUAUCUUCAUUAUAAUUUAUUUAUAAAUAUAUUAUGCUUUUUUCUAAUAUGUUUAGAUUUUUAAACUUCAUCUUUUGUUUACUUUCUACAGAGAACAUUUCUAACAUACUGAAUUCUGUGUGUCGUGUACGUAUGUGUAUGUGUGUGUAUCCAUAUAUGUAUGCAUAACAACAUGUGUGCGUGUUUAUACGUGUGAAAGUGUGUAUUUGCAUGCAUAUAUUUUCAUAAAAACUCUGAUGAUUGUUGGAAUUUGUUCCAAGCAGUAGUAAAGUCUAACUUUUAUGAUCCUUAAGACUAUGACUCAUAAAUUAAUUUGCUAUUCAGUCUGCUCUACAGAAAUCACAGAGAAAUUUGCAUGAUUAGUAUAGUUGCUUCACAGCACUUCUGUGCAUGUAAUAGGGAGUUGGAAGGAGCUCACUGAAUCAUCUACCUCUGUGGAGGUAGAUCUACCAAUGUGAUUGAGUGGAAAUUGCUGAAGUAUAAUUAAGUCUCUCUUGAAAAUAUCUGUAAUCUGUUGUUCAUAGGGAGACAGUUUUCUCUUGUGAAGUUAGAGAAGACAUUUGGAAAAGUUAACAUCCCACUUGAGAGGUUCAGAUAGGAGAAAAAUUAAGGGUUUCAGCGUUUUUUGGGCUCAAAUAUGUUUGCUUAGGAUUCUUGCUCCCUCUCCCUCUGCAUACUUCCUCUCAAAAAAAAAAAAAUCUAAUGUUAUUUUAAGGUUCAUCCUGUAUUUCUCUCAUUUCAAUUUAUUGAAUGAACAAAAUGUAAUGCCUUGAAUUUCCAUGUUGCAUUGUCUUAUAUCUUAUUCCCAAAUCACUUAUUAUUUUCAGUUAAUUUUUUCUAAAAUAUAUAUAUAAUAUUUUUAAAUAUAUAUACAUAUAUAUAUAUAAUUUAUAUAUAACUCUAGUGAUGAUUACUUUCUACCAUAAAAUAUUUUAUCACUUACUUGAAUUUCAUAUACCAUAAAUUAGAAUGAAACCUAGAUUAUACAUAAUUUUUAUAGUUGGUCUCAUUGAGAAACAAAUGUGAUAGAAUUAUUUACGUUGCUAUCCAAAUGUGGACCUUUAGUAUAUAAACCCAAUAGAAAAUUAUUCAGCAUUUUAUUAAGACCCUUGAAUGGUCAUUGACAGGUAAUAUAUAUCUAUAUAAUAUUUACAUGAAAAUGAUAAAUUAGCACAAACUUAUAAAUCAAUUUAUAAUAUUGUAUUCAGUUGACCCUUAAACCAUGGUUUUUGAACUGCAUAGGUCUAUUUAUGUGUAGAUUUUUUAUAGUACAGUACUGCAAAUGUAUUUUUCUUAUGGUUUUCUUAAUAACAUUUUCUUCUAGGUUUAUUGUAAGAAUAAAUUAUAUAAUAUGUAUGAAGAUGUAAAACAGUACAUAAUACAUAUAACAUACAAAAUAGGUGUUAAUAGACUUAUGGUUUUAGUAAGGCUUCUGGUCAACAUUAGUUGAGUUUUGGGAGAAUCAAAAGUUAUGGGGCACUGGGUAGCCCAGUUGGUUGAGGGUCUGACUCGAUUUUGGCCCCAGGUCGUUAUCUCUCAGUCACGAGAUCAAGCCUCACAUGGGGCUCCAUGCUGGCCAUGGAGCCUGCUUAAGAUUCUCUUUCUCCCUCUGCCCCUCCCCCAUUCAUGCAUUCUCUUUCUCUCUCCCUCUCUCUCUCAAAAAAAAAAAGUUAUACAUGCAUUUUCAACUGCACAGCGGGUUGACAGCCCAAAUACCCAUGUUGUUCAAGGGUCACCUGUAGUAACAGUUUGGGGGCAAAAGAUACGAAACUGUUUUUGUUUAAUGAAGAGUUAUAUUGCUUUUGAGAUCACCAAGGAAGCACACUGGAUAACUUCAGAAUAACAGCAACAACAAAAGGAUAUUAACUUAAACAUGCCAAUAAUGUAAUGUAAUUCUCUAUAAUUAAAUUACAAGCAGUUACAAUUUCUAAUGUAAAUUUUUAUUUUGGAAUAAAUUUAUAUGUGCAGAUAAGUAGCAAAGAUAAUACAGAAACUUCCUAUAUACCUUCUCACUGAGUGUAUCCACAUAUUAAUGUUGUACAUUACCAAGAUACUUCUUUCUAUUUGUUUAUAUAAUCCCUACCCCCAAUGUGGGGCUCAAACUCAUGACCCUGAGAUCAAGAGUCCCAUGCUCUACUGACUGAGCCAGGCAGGCACCCCCAUGACACCGUUGACAAAACUGAGGACCAGCGUUGGUGCAGCACUGUUAAUUUGCUUCACGCUUUAUUUGCAUUUCACCAGUUGUAACAAUAUAUUUUCAUGUUCCAGGAUCCAUUUCAGAAUACCACAUUUUCUUUAGUCAUCAUAUCUCCUCAGUGUCCCUUGUGCUGUGUCAGUAUUUUAACCCUUCCUAGUUUUUCAUGGUUUUAGUGAGUUAGGGGAAGUCUGGUCAGGUGUUAUUUUUGCAUGUCACUAAAGUUGAGUUUGUCUGAUUAUUUUUUAAUGAUUAGAAUAUGUUCGUAGAUUUUUAGAAGAAUAUCCCAAUCUCCUAUCAUAUCAUAUCAGAGAUUCAGGAAAUAAUCUUGAUGUAUCACUGGUGCUGUUAACCAUGAUCCCUUGGUUCAGCUGAUGCUUGCCAGGUAUCUUCAUGAAAUUACUGUGUUCCCAUUUCCAUACUUGUUUAGAAGUCACUGAGUUCAUCCCAAAACAAAACCAAGGGGAGUUAAAUUAAUGCCUUUCUCCUGAAAGGAGGCAUAUAUAUGUAUAUGUAUAUGUAUAUAUCUGUGUGUGUAUGAAAAUAUAUGUAUAUUCUCUUUAGCAUUUUUCUGCCAGGAAGAUUUGUCCCUUCCUCAUUUAUUUGUUUAUUCAAUUAUUUAUUCAUGUCAGCAUGAACUCAUGUAUGUUAACUUACAGUAGGUAUUAUAAUCCAGUAUGAUGCUAUUUAUUUUAUCGCUCAAAUUAUUCCAGCUUUGGGCAUCAGGAGUCCUUAAAGGUUUUCUUUCAUGUGGCUUUGAUAUGUUCCAAUUUUUUUUGGGGGGGGGGGUUGGGAAGUUUCCAUUUUUAUACCAGUAUAAGAUGCUCCAGACUCUCAGGUCUGUCCCAGACCUAGAAUCAUGUAUUUCCCCAAAGAGGGUUUUUUUUUUUUUUAAUGUUUAUUUUUGAGAGAGAAGGAGAGAGAGCACGCACACAAGCACGAGCAGGGGAGGGGCAGAAGAGAGGGGGACAGAGGGUCUGAAGUGGACUCUGUGCUGACAGUGUGGAACCCGAUGCAGGGCUCGAACCCACAAACUACAACAUCAUGACCUGAGCUGAAGUCAGAUGCUCAACCGACUGAGCUGCCCAGGCACCCUCCCCAAUGAGUUUUUUAUUAGCUAUUUAAAGAUGUGAGGAAAUACAAGUACCUAAAGGAGAGAGAUCAAAGUCCUGUGGCAGCACAAAGUCCAAGAAGACACAGGCAUGCACAUACAACCCAAGGGAUGAUGAACACAACCUGGUCCGUUAGUGCAGUUUUAAUCUGCUUUAUUACUUAACACCGAUCAUGACUUACCUUGUGUACAAGACAACACAACUCACAGACGUGUGGAUGGCACUGCCGUCAAAGGCUUCCUUCUGUUCCCAUCUGUCCUCUCUUGUGGUCCUUUUGCUCAUUUCAAACACAGUUGUGAAGACACCUUCAUGCUCAGCUAGAAUAAUUCCUGAUGCCGCCCCGUGAGAGAUGCCCAAAGGAGAUGCGUGUCGUUGUUCUAAAGCUCUGCCAUUUGGACCAAGUGUCUCCAGAGAGUGAACCUGGUUGCGGCAGGACACUUGAGUGCAUUGUCUUGACUCAGACCUGGCUGUAGGGACCUGGGCUGGAGGGAGACGCCACUCACCCGCUCCAGGCCUUCAGACCACGGAUCACCCUGUGAUGCCAUGGACUGGGGAGGAAGCUGUGGACUGGGGAGUUUCUGGAGGACAGAAUUCUGGCCCUGAGUCCCCUUCACCCACUGUGCAGUCACCAUGGACUUCUGUCUACCCACACAUGUGUACUAAGCAAUGACACACCGCUCCCCAGCAAUAGACACACACACACACACACACACACACACACACCUCCCCUCUCAAGAAGAGGGGACACAGAGCCUGUGCUCUUAGAAAUUCCACCCAAACCCUCACAAGUGCCCCCAGCAAACCUGGCAUAUACCACACUCGGGCCCCGAGUCUCCUGCAGCAACCUAGGCUCAUGGAGCAGCCCUCAGAAUGCCACGUGCCUGCAUGCACACAGGAGUAAGGCAGAGCACACCCAACCCCAACUUGAAUCUGUGUCUAUGGCACUAGCAGUCCUAACACCAAACCUGUGCGGGCUCCCUACUCGUGUCCUUGCUGAGCCUUGUCCAGCACUGCCUCCUCCUUCCUUCUCUAACCCCUCUGCAGGAGGACAGUGAGUUAGAGGCCACCGCCAGCUGCCUGAAUCCUGGGCCUGCGGGAAUCCACAUGUCAACGAGCCCUAGGUGGUCAGGGCCUUGGGCCUGGCUGUGGUCGGCAAAUAUCUUUCUCAAUUGCAUGGGAUCUAGCUCUUUGACAUGUGAACAUCAAGGGAUAGCAUGCCCACUGCUCCGUUUCUGCAUGAAGGGUAGGAGCCUAAAUCCAGCAGGAAAAAGUUCCAUGGUGCAAAAAAAAUACUUCCUGUCCUAAAGAUGUGGGUUUACUGUAACUUGGAAUAGGCCAGUCAGCACACAGACAGUCACCCCAAAUAGCAAAUGCUGUCCAAUCCUCUUACUUGAGGCCUGUUAUUUACCUUAUCACACGAAUAUGAUAAGUAUAUGUAUCUGCUUGGCUAUCCAAAAAUGUGAGAUUUCUUUUGGUCUUUAAUCACUUAGUGAAUUGCCUGUAAUUGGCAUCACAUUCCAGUUUAAUGCUUAUUCUGUAAUAAAAGUGUUCUCUUUCUCUUCUG
Long non-coding RNA from Felis catus (domestic cat), 6606 nucleotides. RefSeq lists it as uncharacterized. Lineage: Eukaryota; Metazoa; Chordata; Mammalia; Carnivora; Felidae. The transcript is spliced from 2 exons. The record is from RefSeq and is a predicted model, not a curated record.